RNAcentral lists this transfer RNA (64 nucleotides) under Asiopsocus sonorensis. RNAcentral describes it as "tRNA-Tyr". Lineage: Eukaryota; Metazoa; Arthropoda; Insecta; Psocodea; Asiopsocidae. The record is from RNAcentral.
AAAGGGAUGGCUGAUUAGGUGAUAGAUUGUAAAUUUAUUAAUGGUUAAUUAAAACCUUCCUUUA